RNAcentral lists this non-coding RNA (24 nucleotides) under Arabidopsis thaliana (thale cress). The record is from RNAcentral. Lineage: Eukaryota; Viridiplantae; Streptophyta; Magnoliopsida; Brassicales; Brassicaceae.
GAAAAGGAUACGGUGGUGGUGGUC